This 772-nucleotide ribosomal RNA is filed under the name uncultured bacterium. RNAcentral's name for it is "bacterial SSU rRNA". It matches the Rfam family "Bacterial small subunit ribosomal RNA", at positions 8 to 772 of the family's 1533-position model. The record is from RNAcentral.
AGAGUUUGAUCCUGGCUCAGGAUGAACGCUGGCGGCAUGCCUAAUACAUGCAAGUCGAACGAGGAUCCUUCGGGAUCCUAGUGGCGAACGGGUGAGUAACACGUAGGGAACCUGCCCGCGCACCGGGAAUACGCUCUGGAAACGGAGAACAAAUCCCGAUGUACAGGAAGGAGGCAUCUUCUUUCUGUGAAACAUCCUGUAAGGGAUGGGGCGCGGAUGGACCUGCGGUGCAUUAGUUAGUUGGCGAGGGUAAAGGCCCACCAAGACGAUGAUGCAUAGCCGGCCUGAGAGGGCGGACGGCCACAUUGGGACUGAGACACGGCCCAGACUCCUGCGGGAGGCAGCAGUAGGGAAUUUUCGUCAAUGGGCGCAAGCCUGAACGAGCGAUGCCGCGUGAGUGAAGAAGGCCUUCGGGUCGUAAAGCUCUGUUGCGGGGGAAAAAAGGCAUCUGCAGGAAAUGGUAGAUGACAGAUGGUGCCCCGCCAGAAAGUCACGGCUAACUACGUGCCAGCAGCCGCGGUAAUACGUAGGUGGCGAGCGUUAUCCGGAAUGAUUGGGCGUAAAGGGUGCGCAGGCGGUCCUGCAAGUCUGGAGUGAAACGUAUGAGCUCAACUCAUGCAUGGCUCUGGAAACUGGAGGACUGGAGAGCAGGAGAGGGCGGUGGAACUCCAUGUGUAGCGGUAAAAUGCGUAGAUAUAUGGAAGAACACCAGUGGCGAAGGCGGCCGCCUGGCCUGUUGCUGACGCUGAGGCACGAAAGCGUGGGGAGCAAA